GAUGAACGCUGGCGGCGUGCCUAAUACAUGCAAGUCGAGCGAACAGAUAAGGAGCUUGCUCCUUUGACGUUAGCGGCGGACGGGUGAGUAACACGUGGAUAACCUACCUAUAAGACUGGGAUAACUUCGGGAAACCGGAGCUAAUACCGGAUAACAUAUUGAACCGCAUGGUUCAAUAGUGAAAGGCGGCUUUGCUGUCACUUAUAGAUGGAUCCGCUCCGUAUUAGCUAGUUGGUAAGGUAACGGCUUACCAAGGCAACGAUACGUAGCCGACCUGAGAGGGUGAUAGGCCACACUGGAACUGAGACACGGUCCAGACCCCUACGGGAGGCAGCAGUAGGGAAUCUUCCGCAAUGGGCGAAAGCCUGACGGAGCAACGCCGCGUGAGUGAUGAAGGUCUUCGGAUCGUAAAACUCUGUUAUCAGGGAAGAACAAAUGUGUAAGUAACUGUGCACAUCUUGACGGUACCUGAUCAGAAAGCCACGGCUAACUACGU
This 496-nucleotide ribosomal RNA is filed under the name uncultured bacterium. Its description in RNAcentral is "partial 16S ribosomal RNA". It matches the Rfam family "Bacterial small subunit ribosomal RNA", at positions 28 to 506 of the family's 1533-position model. The record is from RNAcentral.